RNAcentral lists this ribosomal RNA (936 nucleotides) under Triticum aestivum (bread wheat). RNAcentral's name for it is "partial small subunit ribosomal RNA". The record is from RNAcentral. Lineage: Eukaryota; Viridiplantae; Streptophyta; Magnoliopsida; Poales; Poaceae.
AUGGCCGCCGGUCUCCUCCUCGGCGACGCCGCCGCGGCCCCGCGGGCACGCAUCGCCGUCUGCCGGCCGCGCCUGCACCACUGCGGCUGGGCCCCGAGGCCCCACCACGGCUGCCGCCUCUCCCGCGCCCGGGGGCGCGCGCCGGCCAGGUUCGCCGCGUCCGCGUCGGGCGGCGGGCGGGGCGGAUGGGACGAGCCGUCGGAGGAGGAGAAGCGGAGGGAGAGGGAGGCGGAGAUGGCGCGGCGGCUCAAGGAGGCGGAGGAGAUGGACGAGCUGGAGCGCACCGCCGAGGAGCUGCAGAGCCGCGCCGCCCCCGACGACGAGUCCGAGGAGGAGAAGCGCGAGCGCGUCCGCCGCGAGCUCCAGAAGGUGGCCAAGGAGCAGGCCGAGAGGAGGGCGACAGGGAAACAGAUGUUCGAUCUGGGGCAAAGGGCGUAUGGGAAAGGGAUGUAUGGCCGCUCCAUCGAGUUCUUGGAGGCUGCACUCACCAUCAUACGCCCCUCCUCGCUCCUCGGCGGUGAGAUUCAAAUUUGGCUUGCAAUGGCAUACGAUGCCAAUAGGCGGCACAAGGAAUCCAUAGCAUUGUACAAAGAAUUGGAGAAUACACAUCCAAUGAUUAGCAUCAGGAGACAAGCAGCUGAAUUCCGGUACAUUGCUGAGGCGCCCAAGUUGAAGAUCUCCAACGAUGAGGUGGUCACGAUACCGCAAAUUGGAUCUAGCUGGGACUGGUACGCUGGGACAUGGAGUGACAAGAUCCAAGAGCAAGAAGACAAGAAAAGAAAGAUGGUGGCGGCCGCGAGCCAACCGCAGCCUUCGCCAAACGUCUUCGGCAACCUGUUCCUCCUGCGGCCGCCGGGCGAGUGGAAGAAGAGCGCCUGGGCGAUUGUCACACUGUGGGCUGUGCUGAUCGGGACAGCAUUCUAUCUGCAGAGAUGA